AGCAGCGUGGCUCAGACGGAAAGAGCCUGGACUUCGGAGUCAGAGGUCAUGGGUUUGACUCCCGGCUCUGCCA
Molecule: non-coding RNA, 73 nt
Organism: Ornithorhynchus anatinus (platypus)
Lineage: Eukaryota; Metazoa; Chordata; Mammalia; Monotremata; Ornithorhynchidae
Source: Rfam